AUUGUACGCUAGCGGCAGGCCUAACACAUGCAAGUCGAACGAGUGGCGGACGGGUGAGUAAUAUCUGGGAAACUGCCUAGUGGCGGGGGAUAACUACUCGAAACGGUGGCUAAUACCGCAUACCAUCGGAUGUGCCCAUAUGGGAUUAGCUAGUUGGUGGGGUAACGGCUCACCAAGGCAACGAUCCGUAGCUGGUCUGAGAGGAUGACCAGCCACACUGGAACGUAGACACGGCCCAGACGCCUACGGGAGGCAGCAGUGGGGAAUAUUGGACAAUGGGGGAAAGCCUGAUGCAGCCAUCCCGCGUGUAUGAAGAAGGCCUUCGGGUUGUAAAGUACUUUUAGCGGGGAGGCGUUAUCUGCAGAAUAAGCACCGGCUAACUCCGUGCCAGCAGCCGCGGUAAUAC
Molecule: ribosomal RNA, 406 nt
Filed under: uncultured bacterium
Lineage: Bacteria
Description: partial 16S ribosomal RNA
Rfam family: Bacterial small subunit ribosomal RNA
Source: RNAcentral